UCCGGUUUGGCACCGGCGGUCUCCGAUGAGUCCCCGGCAUUACCCGCUGGCAACAUCGGACAGGGGUUGCGCUCGUUGCGCCACUUAAGGCAACACCUCACGGCACGAGCUGACGACAGCCAUGCAGCACCUGUGCGGGCUCCCGAAGGAGGACCGGCUUUCACCGGCUUCACCCCGCAUGUCAAACCCAGGUAAGGUGGGGAUGACGUAGGAGAGUACGUCC
Molecule: unclassified non-coding RNA, 223 nt
Filed under: uncultured Actinomycetes bacterium
Lineage: Bacteria; Bacillati; Actinomycetota; Actinomycetes
Description: uncultured actinobacterium contains 16S-23S intergenic spacer region
Source: RNAcentral